This 266-nucleotide unclassified non-coding RNA is filed under the name Hevea brasiliensis (rubber tree). The record is from RNAcentral. Lineage: Eukaryota; Viridiplantae; Streptophyta; Magnoliopsida; Malpighiales; Euphorbiaceae.
GCCCCUUUGGUUUUCCACACGCUUAAUUAUUACCAUCAACAAAUUGAAAAGCUGAAAACCCAUGAUUGAAAAUAAACUUACUAUAUAUAUAUACGGUACACAGAUCCGCCACCUCCUGCUUAAUUUCCUGUUCUUCAGGGAUGUGAUAAUCAUGUAGCCACCCGCCGAGGAGUCAGCCGAGAUUGAGCCCCUGUGGAUACAAGAAUUUGAGCGGUAGAAGUAUUAUAUAUAUUUGCAGAUGUUGAAGUAGUGGUAGAGAAGCCAUA